This 620-nucleotide ribosomal RNA is filed under the name Kocuria sp. I12A-00934. Its description in RNAcentral is "bacterial SSU rRNA". It matches the Rfam family "Bacterial small subunit ribosomal RNA", at positions 92 to 724 of the family's 1533-position model. The record is from RNAcentral. Lineage: Bacteria; Bacillati; Actinomycetota; Actinomycetes; Micrococcales; Micrococcaceae.
UGAGUGGCGAACGGGUGAGUAAUACGUGAGUAACCUGCCCUUGACUCUGGGAUAAGCCUGGGAAACCGGGUCUAAUACUGGAUACGACUCCUCAUCGCAUGGUGGGGGGUGGAAAGGGUUUCACUGGUUUUGGAUGGGCUCACGGCCUAUCAGCUGGUUGGUGGGGUAAUGGCUCACCAAGGCGACGACGGGUAGCCGGCCUGAGAGGGUGACCGGCCACACUGGGACUGAGACACGGCCCAGACUCCUACGGGAGGCAGCAGUGGGGAAUAUUGCACAAUGGGCGCAAGCCUGAUGCAGCGACGCCGCGUGAGGGAUGACGGCCUUCGGGUUGUAAACCUCUUUCAGUAGGGAAGAAGCGAAAGUGACGGUACCUGCAGAAGAAGCGCCGGCUAACUACGUGCCAGCAGCCGCGGUAAUACGUAGGGCGCAAGCGUUGUCCGGAAUUAUUGGGCGUAAAGAGCUCGUAGGCGGUUUGUCGCGUCUGCUGUGAAAGCCCGGGGCUCAACCCCGGGUCUGCAGUGGGUACGGGCAGACUAGAGUGCAGUAGGGGAGACUGGAAUUCCUGGUGUAGCGGUGAAAUGCGCAGAUAUCAGGAGGAACACCGAUGGCGAAGGCAG